GUCUUUAAGGACUCUUCAGCUGGUCCAAAAUGCAGUAGCUCGGAAGAAGGGAAGCACAUCUCCCCUGUCUUAGCCUCUCUUCAUUGGUACCGAUUAAAUCUAGAAUUGAGUUUAAAAUCCUCCCUGUUACAUAUAACACGCUUAACGGCCAGGCUCCAUCAUAUCUCGACGAGCUUGUUAUACCGUACUUUCCAUCUAGACCGUUACGCACACAGUCUGCAGGCCUGCUCGUUGUACCAAAUGUCUCUAAAAGUAGUAUUGGAGGAAGAGCUUUCACGUCUCUUCUGGAAUCAUUUAACGCUCGAGGUUCGGGGGGCAGACACCCUCUCAACUUUCAAGAGUAGACUUUGCAUCAGUCCAUCUUAGAUGAGCUUGGGCCCAGAGAAGCCGGCGGCGUUUCUGGAUGCAGACCUGCUCCUGAUGAUCUGACGGGUCUGGAUGGUUCGUAACGUACCAGCAGAUCAGAAAUGUAUUUUGGUCCUGAACCAUUCACUGCUUUAUAAACCAGCAAUAGUAUCUUAAAAUCAGUUCUUUGACAGAUGGGAAGCCAGUGUAAAGAUCUGAGAACUGGGGUGAUAUGAUCUACUUUCUUGGUCUUAGUGAGGACUCGAGCAGCAGCAUUCUGAAUCAGUUGGAGCUGUCUGAUAAAUUUUUGGGGAGACCUGUGAAGACACUGUUACAGUAGUCGAGUCUGCUAAAGAUAAAUGCAUGGACAAGCUUUUCCAAAUCCUGCUGGGCCUAAAUCUAGAAUUGAGUUUAAAAUCCUCCCUGUUACAUAUAAUACGCUUAACGGCCAGGCUCCAUCAUAUCUCGACGAGCUUGUUAUACCGUACUUUCCAUCUAGACCGUUACGCACACAGUCUGCAGGCCUGCUCGUUGUACCAACUGUCUCUAAAAGUAGUAUUGGAGGAAGAGCUUUCAGCUACCAGGCACGUCUCCUCUGGAAUCAUUUAACGCUCGAGGUUCGGGGGGCAGACACCCUCUCAACUUUCAAGAGUAGACUUUGCAUCAGUCCAUCUUAGAUGAGCUUGGGCCCAGAGAAGCCGGCGGCGUUUCUGGAUGUUAAAAAUAGACUUUUAACGUUCCUCUUUGAUAAAGCUUAUAGUUGGGGCUGAUUUGAACCAGCUCUUAGUUAUGCUGCUAUAGGUCUAGACUGCCGGGGUUAUCUGGCACACUGAGCUAGAGUCUGUCUCUAUCUCUCCUUUAGAUCUUUAUGUCCCAUAUAAGUCACUUACCAGAUUUCUGUCUCUCUGAGUGUCUCUGAGUCUCUUAGCUCCCACUGGACUAAUGCUGCAGACGGUCUGCUGCGGAACUGCCUGACCCCAGCUGCAUCAUCCCUGAUUGUCCACCUUGGGCCCUGAGCUCCUCCAUCUCUUAGGCUCCUCUGGACCGUUGCUGCAGACAACCCCUGUCCCUUGGUUGCUCUGGACUGAUGGCUGCUGCAGACCUGCCUGACGCUAGUCAAGUCAACUCAAGUCAAGUUUAUUUGUAUAGCACAUUUCAGCAGCAGGGCAAUUCAAGGUGCUUUACAUGAAACAAGCAGGCAAAACAUUCAACACAAUUUGAAAAGUAAAAACAGCGUAAAAGACAUUUAACAAAUUAAAAGUUACAUUCAAAGCUAAAAUAAGGUUGGAGAUAAAAGAAAACAAAGGUUAGAUUGGAAAGAGAGAAAAAAAGAUCAAGACAGGCAGAUGAUGGGGAUGUUGAUUAGAGGCCUCAGGUUUGAUUCAAUAAUAGGCCACAGCAAACAUAUGCGUUUUCAGCUGUGAUUUAAAAGAGAUGAGAGUUUCAGCAGACCUACAGUUUUCAGGGAGUUUGUUCCAGAUAUGAGGAGCAUAAAAACUAAAAGCUGCUUCUCCACGUUUAGUUCUGACUCUGGGGACAGAGAGCAGACCUGCUCCUGAUGAUCUGAGCGGUCUGGAUGGUUCGUAACGUACCAGCAGAUCAGAAAUGUAUUUUGGUCCUGAACCAUUCACUGCUUUAUAAACCAGCAUUAGUAUCUUAAAAUCAGUUCUUUGACAGAUGGGAAGCCAGUGUAAAGAUCUGAGAACUGGGGUGAUAUGAUCUACUUUCUUGGUCUUAGUGAGGACUCGAGCAGCAGCAUUCUGAAUCAGUUGGAGCUGUCUGAUGGAUUUUUUGGGGAGACCUGUGAAGACACUGUUACAGUAGUCGAGUCUACUUAAGAUAAAUGCAUGGACAAGCUUUUCCAAAUCCUGCUGGGUCAUCAGUCCUUUAACCCUUGAUAUAUUCUUCAGGUGAUAGUAGGCUGAUUUUGUAAUUGUCUUUAUGUGGCUGUUAAGAUUCAGGUCUGAAUCCAUGACAACACCAAGGUUUCUGGCUUGGUUUGUGCUUUUUAACAUUAUCGAUUGAAGCUGAGCGCAGACUUUUAAUCGCUCUUCUUCUGCUCCAAAUACAAUUACUUUAGCUUUAGCUUUGUUUAGUUGAAGAAAAUUCUGACACAUCCAAUCAUUGAUUUGUUCAAUACACUGACUCAGUGUUUGUAUUGGAUUGUAGUCGCCUGGUGAUAUGGUUAUGUAAAUCUGUGUGUCCUCUGCAUAAUUAUGGUAAGAUAUUUUGUUGUUUGCUAUGAUUUGAGUUAGAGGGAGCAUAUAAAUGUUGAAUAGGAGUGGCCCCAGAAUGGAGCCUUGGGGAACCCCACAUGUCAUUUUUGUUUGCUCUGAUGUGUAAUUACCUAGAGACACAAAGUAGUCUCUAUCCUUUAAGUAGGAGGCAAACCAGUUAAGUACUGUUCCAGAAAGUCCCACCCAGUUUUCCAGUCGAGUAGGAUGCUGUGGUCAACCGUGUCGAAAGCGGCACUGAGAUCGAGCAAUACUAGGACUGAAAUUUUGCCAUUGUCUGAGUUUAAGUGGAUGUCGUUAAAGACUUUGAUAAGAGCAGUCUCAGUGCUGUGGUGCGGUCGAAACCCUGACUGGAAAACGUCAAAACAGUUGUUUAGGACUGAGAAGUUGUGAAGCUGUUAGAAGGCUGCUUUUUCAAUGAUUUUGCUUAAAAACGGGAGGUUCGAUAUAGGCCUAUAAUUGUUCAUUACUGAGUUGUCUAGGUUGCUUUUUUUUAGGAGAGGCUUUAUGACAGCAGUUUCAGGGCCUGUGGAAAGACACCUGACAGAAGAGACAUGUUGACAAUCUGUAGAAGAUUUGAGGCCAUGCAAUUAGAAACUGUUUUAAAGAAACCUGUUGGCAGAAUAUCAAGGCAGCAGGUGGAGGAGUUCAGAUUUAGUAUGAUGUCCUCCAGAAGAAGGAGGAAAAUUCAUUACAAGCCUUGGCGGACAGAAAUUCAGAGGCUACUGAUACUGGAGGGUUUGUUAGCCUGUCGACUGUGGUAUAUAGGGCGCGUGCAAUAUUUUUGUUUUUGGUGAUGAUGUAGCCGCAUCGUCUAUUAUUGUCCGCCUCAGGCCCUGAGCUCCUUCUUCUCUUGGAUUCCUCUGGACUGUUAGCCGCAUCAUCUAUUAUUGUCCACCUCAGGCCCUGAGCUCCUUCUUCUCUUGGAUUCCUCUGGACUGUUACUGCAGACAUGAACAUCAGCCUCACUGACAUUAAGAACAUAAAACUAGAGCUGACUACGAUUAGGCCUGCUGACUGUAAUCACAUUUAAUUAAUUUAACAUUGUCCAUAAUCACUCAUAUCCUAACCCUGUAAACUGAACUCAUUCUGUUUCACCAGUACAUGAGCUGUUGUUGUCGUUGCUGUUGUUUCUGCUGUCCUUUCUCUCUCUCUCACCCUCGUUCUCUACUCUCUCUCCCUCCCCCUCCCUCUCCUUACUCAUUCUCUCUCUC
This 3793-nucleotide long non-coding RNA is filed under the name Xyrichtys novacula (pearly razorfish). Lineage: Eukaryota; Metazoa; Chordata; Actinopteri; Labriformes; Labridae. The record is from RNAcentral.